Long non-coding RNA from Thalassophryne amazonica, 125 nucleotides. RefSeq lists it as uncharacterized. The record is from RefSeq and is a predicted model, not a curated record. The transcript is spliced from 3 exons. NCBI's taxonomy places the organism in Eukaryota, Metazoa, Chordata, Actinopteri, Batrachoidiformes, Batrachoididae.
UCUGUCCUUCUCUUGAUGAAUGAUGGAGGCCACUGUGCUCACUGGGACCUUCAAAGCAGCAGAAAUGUUUGUGUACCCUUCCCCAGAUUUGUGCCUCGAGACAAUCAUGUCUCAGAUAUCUACAG